UGUCCUCUACCCCUCCACCCCUCUCCAGAGCCCCGCUGCCAACCUUGGGCCACAGUGGGGACCCCGCGGGGCUGAAGGAAUCCUCCCGGGGAGAUAAGCCCGGCCUCGGACCCUGGGACCCGGACGCCCUGGAGGAGGGAAGGAGGAGGGGGCCAAGCGCUCCUCACAGACCCUGCGGGUCCGCGGCUCAAGGCUAUUGCAAUGUUUCGGAGGCUCCUGUGAAUGAAGAGACUGGGUCCAUGCACAAAGGUGUGGAGCAGAGCCCAGCCACCCCACGUUGGACAAGGGGACAUGGCUUCUGUAUUCCUCGGCUCGUGGUCCCUUCCUCCAUCCUCGGAGCUGGCAAUGGCACCACCUCCACACCCCCUUCUGAACCUCGUGCCUCCCUCUUUCACUUAUAAGGACCCUGGUGAUUACAUUGGGUCCACUUGGAUAAUCCAGGAUGAUCUUCUCAACUGAAAAUCCUUAAUCCUUCAUCACAUCUGCAAGGUUCCUUUCGCCAGGAAAGAUAAUCCAUUGCCAGGUUCCAGGGAUUAGGACAUGGGCAUUUUUGGGGGGCCAUGAUUUUGCCUAGCACAGAGGGCAAGUUGGAAAUUGGCUCUCAAGCCUCAGAGACUCUUUACAUCCCUCCCAGUCUCCCCAGCUAUGUGCUGAUCUCAUCUUUCUUUCCCUCUUUUUCUCAUUUAUUUCUGGCCCUACAGUUCAUUUUUCUAAAAAAAAGAUUUUAUUUAUUUAUUUGAGAGAAAGAGCACAAGCCGGGGAGAAGCAGAGACAGAAUCUCAAGCAGACUCUGCACUGAGCGCGGGACCCAAUGCGGGGCUUGAUCCCACAACCCAUGAGAUCAUGACCUGAGCUAAAACCAAGAGCCAGAUGUUCAUCCCACUAAGCCACCUAGGCGCCCCUACAGCUAAUUUUAAAACAGAUACAUCAGCUAGAGGCAUUUGCUCCAAAUUCCCUAAUCCUUAUGAAUGGUGGUCCAGAUCAAGGUCCCCUUUGAUUCCCAAAUGAGCUUGAUCAGACAUGGUCUCUGGGUGGACCCUAGUCUAGAAGAGCACAGUCCAAGAGAAAUUGAAUGUGAGCUACCACAAUGUAAGUCACAUAUGUGAUUUCAAAAUUUCUAGGAGUCUCAUAAAAAAAGGUAAAAAGAAAUAAAUAGAAUUAAUGUUAUUUUAUUUAUUUAUUUAUUUAUUUAUAAAGAUUUUUAUUUAUUUAUUUGACAGAGAGAGACACAGCGAGAGAGGGAACACAAGCAGGGGGAGUGGGAGAGGGAGAAGCAGGCUCUCCGCUGAGCAAGGAGCCCGAUGCGGGGCUCGAUCCCAGGACCCUGGGAUCAUGACCUGAGCCAAAGGCAGACGCUUAACCGACUGAG
This is a long non-coding RNA of Mirounga angustirostris (Northern elephant seal), 1369 nucleotides long. RefSeq lists it as uncharacterized. The record is from RefSeq and is a predicted model, not a curated record. The transcript is spliced from 3 exons. Lineage: Eukaryota; Metazoa; Chordata; Mammalia; Carnivora; Phocidae.